CUGACUCAGCUCCUUCAGAGCUCCCCUGGGAUCAGGAUUCCUCCUGGCUUAGCUGCUCCCACUUGGAGGGGAGGAGCAACUAAGAUGGGAGGACUGAGCUGUCUCCUGCUUCAGCUGGACCAGAUAAGUCAGAUGAGAAUGAGACCAGGACUGCAGGAUCCAACAAGGGACAGCUCAGAAAAAUGUCUGGGAUACAUUCUGUGAUGGACGCCUGUGUAUUUCAUCAUAAGUGAAUGGUUUCAUGGAAUUGAGACCUAAUUGAAGAGGAAGUAGUCUCUUGAAGGUUAACAGAAAAUAAAUAAAUAAACCCCAAUGGAAGGACAAGCAAAUCCAAGACCCUAAAGGCAGGAAGAACCUGGCAUGUUCAAAGGCCAAGAAGUUUAGUGGAUCUGAGAAGAGUGAAUAAUUAGGAAAAAAAUGGGAGUAAAGAGACCCAAGAAGCAGAUUGGACUCUGACUGUGCAUGGCCUUGUAGGCUAUGGUUAGGAAUUUGAAAAUUCUAUUCUUGUUUCAAUGAUAUUUUUUCAGUUUUUUAAUUAAACUUUUU
Long non-coding RNA from Marmota monax (woodchuck), 546 nucleotides. RefSeq lists it as uncharacterized. NCBI's taxonomy places the organism in Eukaryota, Metazoa, Chordata, Mammalia, Rodentia, Sciuridae. The record is from RefSeq and is a predicted model, not a curated record. The transcript is spliced from 3 exons.